RNAcentral lists this ribosomal RNA (513 nucleotides) under uncultured bacterium. RNAcentral describes it as "partial 16S ribosomal RNA". It matches the Rfam family "Bacterial small subunit ribosomal RNA", at positions 28 to 523 of the family's 1533-position model. The record is from RNAcentral.
GACGAACGCUGGCGGCAUGCCUAAUACAUGCAAGUCGAGCGAACAGAUGAAGUGCUUGCACUUCUGACGUUAGCGGCGAACGGGUGAGUAACACGUAAGGAAUCUACCUAUAAGCGGGGGAUAACAUUCGGAAACGGGUGCUAAUACCGCAUAAUAUCUUCUUCCGCAUGGAAGAAGAUUGAAAGACGGCUCUGCUGUCACUUAUAGAUGACCUUGCGGUGCAUUAGUUAGUUGGUGGGGUAAUGGCCUACCAAGACGAUGAUGCAUAGCCGACCUGAGAGGGUGAUCGGCCACAUUGGGACUGAGACACGGCCCAAACUCCUACGGGAGGCAGCAGUAGGGAAUCUUCCGCAAUGGGCGAAAGCCUGACGGAGCAAUGCCGCGUGAGUGAAGAAGGCCUUCGGGUCGUAAAACUCUGUUAUAAGAGAAGAACAAAUUGUAGAGUAACUGCUACAGUCUUGACGGUAUCUUAUCAGAAAGCCACGGCUAACUACGUGCCAGCAGCAGCCGCAG